GACGAACGCUGGCGGCGUGCUUAACACAUGCAAGUCGAGCGGUAAGGCCCUUCGGGUACACGAGCGGCGAACGGGUGAGUAACACGUGGGUAACCUGCCCUCAGCUCUGGGAUAAGCCCGGGAAACUGGGUCUAAUACCGGAUAUCACCUUGGGGAGGCAUCUUCCGGGGUUGAAAGUUUUUGGCGGCUGAGGAUGGGCCCGCGGCCUAUCAGCUUGUUGGUGGGGUAGUGGCCUACCAAGGCGACGACGGGGUAGCCGGCCUGAGAGGGCGACCGGCCACACUGGGACUGAGACACGGCCAGACUCCUACGGGAGGCAGCAGUGGGGAAUAUUGCACAAUGGGCGAAAGCCUGAUGCAGCGACGCCGCGUGAGGGAUGACGG
RNAcentral lists this ribosomal RNA (383 nucleotides) under uncultured bacterium. RNAcentral describes it as "bacterial SSU rRNA". It matches the Rfam family "Bacterial small subunit ribosomal RNA", at positions 28 to 414 of the family's 1533-position model. The record is from RNAcentral.